AUUGAACGCUGGCGGCAGGCCUAACACAUGCAAGUCGAGCGAGCGGCGGACGGGUGAGUAAUGUAUGGGGACUGCCCGAUAGAGGGGGAUAACUACUGGCAACGGUAGCUAAUACCGCAUACUAUCGGAUAACCCAUAUGGGAUUAGCUAGUAGGUGAGGUAAUGGCUCACCUAGGCGACGAUCCCUAGCUGGUCGGAGAGGAUGAUCAGCAACACUGGGACUGAGACACGGCCCAGACUCCGACGGAGGCAGCAGUGGGGAAUAUGGCACAAUGGGGGCAAGCCGGAUGCAGCCAUGCCGCGUGUAUGAAGAAGGCCCGAGGGUUGUAAAGUACGUUCAGUCGGGAGGCGUUACCGACAGAAGAAGCAACGGCUAACUCCGUGCCAGCAGCCGCGGUAAUUC
RNAcentral lists this ribosomal RNA (403 nucleotides) under uncultured bacterium. Its description in RNAcentral is "partial 16S ribosomal RNA". It matches the Rfam family "Bacterial small subunit ribosomal RNA", at positions 29 to 526 of the family's 1533-position model. The record is from RNAcentral.